This 371-nucleotide ribosomal RNA is filed under the name uncultured bacterium. Its description in RNAcentral is "bacterial SSU rRNA". It matches the Rfam family "Bacterial small subunit ribosomal RNA", at positions 521 to 896 of the family's 1533-position model. The record is from RNAcentral.
UAAUACGGAGGGUGCGAGCGUUACCCGGAUUUACUGGGCGUAAAGGGCGUGUAGGCGGUCUUUCAAGUCCGAUGCUAAAGUCUGGGGCUCAACCCCAGGACUGCGUUGGAUACUGGGAGGCUAGACGGUCGGAGGGGGUAGCGGAAUUUCCGGAGUAGCGGUGAAAUGCGCAGAUACCGGAAGGAACGCCAAUAGCGAAGGCAGCUACCUGGACGACUUGUGACGCUGAGGCGCGAAAGCGUGGGGAGCAAACCGGAUUAGAUACCCGGGUAGUCCACGCCCUAAACCAUGAGUGCUGGGUGUCCGGCUUCUGCUGGGUGCCGUAGCUAACGCGCUAAGCACUCCGCCUGGGAAGUACGCACGCAAGUGUG